Vespula vulgaris is the source of this 1104-nucleotide long non-coding RNA. RefSeq lists it as uncharacterized. The transcript is spliced from 2 exons. The record is from RefSeq and is a predicted model, not a curated record. Lineage: Eukaryota; Metazoa; Arthropoda; Insecta; Hymenoptera; Vespidae.
GAAAUGUCAGUAUGGAUUUAGUUUUAAGUUCUCCCUUAUUCGCGGCUGACAUUGCGUUAGUGAUUGGGCACGAUGUACUUUUCACUUGUGUGCUCGUGUUAGAUGGUAAAAUAGUACAUCGUUUCGCGAUAACUUUUAAAUAAUUACAUACCAUACAUACCUAAUAUAUUAUUAUUAAUAUCGUUUUAUAUAGUGGAUUGCCACAUUUUAUGAAAAUAUUGAAAUACUCGUAUAUUACUAGUAUGUUGGUAUACUAGUAUGUACUAGUAUUUUUUGGUUUAGUCAUUUACGCGAUAAUCAUUAAUCUUGACAGUCGAUUACAGCAAUUGGUACAUACUCCUUAUUAGUUCAGAACCAUACGCGUUUGAGCUAGGGUAUCGGAGGUGCCCUGGAACAUACUCUUUAGUAUAGGCUUCCUGGCGGUAGGAAAUGCCCUUGAAAAGCAGCGAAGCAAAGAAGCGGCUGUGUACCGAAGAGGGGUCCACAAUCAUCGUCGACAUGUGAUUACUGACCUCAUUAGGAUAAGGAGGAUUCCGCAAAAGGUCUCACAAAAACUCUUGAAAUAAUGCGAAGGUGCAAACGAUCUUGCAAAAUCCCACAAUAUAAUGCACACACGCAAGUGAUCUCUCAAAAACUCUUGGGAGGACGCAAAAACUCAUCGGAUGACGCAAAAACGCAAGUGGUCUCGAAAGAGUCUUAAAAUAACACUAAAAUGCAAAUGGUUUCGCAGAAUCUCACAAAAUAAUUCAAAAACACAAGUGUCCAUCUAAAAACCCAAGUGUCCUUGCAUUCCAUUGGAUGACAUAAAAAUGCAAGUGGUCUCGCAAACAACACUCAGGAUGAUAUCAAGAUUCAAAUGGUCUCGCAAAAUCCCUCAAGAUAAUGCAAAGACGCAAAGUAGCCUCGAGAAAACUCUUUGGAUGACGUAGAAACGUAAGAAGUCUCGCUACAACGCUCAGAAUGACAUCAAGAUUCAAACAAGGUCUCGCAAAAUCUCUCAAGAUAAUGCAAAGAUGCAAGUGGUCUCGCAAAAGCCCACCGGAAAUAUUGCGACAUUAAAAAUAUGAUAUACAAUCUUAAAGGCUGUGCAAACGGAUACCUGGU